This 90-nucleotide transfer RNA is filed under the name Flavobacteriaceae bacterium. RNAcentral describes it as "tRNA-Ser". It matches the Rfam family "tRNA". From Rfam's summary of the family: Transfer RNA (tRNA) molecules are approximately 80 nucleotides in length. Their secondary structure includes four short double-helical elements and three loops (D, anti-codon, and T loops). Further hydrogen bonds mediate the characteristic L-shaped molecular structure. tRNAs have two regions of fundamental functional importance: the anti-codon, which is responsible for specific mRNA codon recognition, and the 3' end, to which the tRNAs corresponding amino acid is attached (by aminoacyl-tRNA synthetases). tRNAs cope with the degeneracy of the genetic code in two manners: having more than one tRNA (with a specific anti-codon) for a particular amino acid; and 'wobble' base-pairing, i.e. permitting non-standard base-pairing at the 3rd anti-codon position. Lineage: Bacteria; Pseudomonadati; Bacteroidota; Flavobacteriia; Flavobacteriales; Flavobacteriaceae. The record is from RNAcentral. RNAcentral also lists the same sequence under 4 other names.
GGAGAGAUGGCAGAGUGGUCGAAUGCGCUCGCUUGGAAAGCGGGUAAGGGGGAAACUCCUUCAAGGGUUCGAAUCCCUUUCUCUCCGCCA